Astatotilapia calliptera (eastern happy) is the source of this 896-nucleotide long non-coding RNA. The record is from Ensembl. NCBI's taxonomy places the organism in Eukaryota, Metazoa, Chordata, Actinopteri, Cichliformes, Cichlidae.
GAGGGUAACUGCGGGAGAAGGAAAGCUAGUGGGGGAGUAGAGCAGAGGAGUAUGUUGGUCCCCGGGGCCUGCUGGAGGUCCAGGUCCAUGCCCGAUGUGAGUAGCAGCAGGGCCAGCGCGCCCAGGAGCACAUCUUUUUCGACCGUAAAGGGAGACAGGAGGCCGACUCACUGCCUCGGCUAAAUGGAGAGGGAAUUUCAGCAGGGCCAGGGCACAGGCAUGGACCUUUUUCAGCUGUAAGGGAGGCAAGAGCAAGGUGCGAUGUAGGUCCCCGGGGCCUGCUGGAGGUCCAGGUCCAUGCCCGAGUCACUUAGAUAAAUUAAAAAUGUUGUUGUUUGGCUUUGUUUUUUUUUUUUUGUAUUUUAUUUGUUCCUGAGUAAAUCGGUUUGGCUGAGAUUAAAGUUAUAGUUUUUACACAGCUGAAUAAACGUCAAGCAGACAGCUGAUUAUCAGAAGUGUGAGAUGCUGGAGAAUAUACUCCGGUGUCCUGUUAUAUUUUAGACAGCAAGGAGUGUAUUAAACUUUACCGAAACAAUUUGCAAAUUUCAUUAAAAUUGAAUAAACUAUCAUCUUGUCUUUAUUUUUAGUUAGCACCUUAAAAGCUUAAAGCUGUAAGCUAAUGAUAGUUAUAUAAGAGCAGAUGCUGCUGGUGCAAUAAGCUGUAGUUUUACGUCCAGUGGAUGAUGAUCUGAUUAGUCGACUAAUCGCAUAAAUAAUCGGUGACUAGUCGACUAUCAAAAUAAUCGUUUGUGGCAGCCCUACUUCUAUGCCCCAUCUUUGUUUACUCUUUCCCACCCAACAAGUGCAUAAAUAAGAUGUUAAAAACGUCAUCAUCAUAUCAAACAUGAUCGAUUUGGGGGGAGUUUGUUUGGCACAUGCUGACUGCAUUCUAAUUA